This 497-nucleotide ribosomal RNA is filed under the name uncultured bacterium. RNAcentral describes it as "partial 16S ribosomal RNA". It matches the Rfam family "Bacterial small subunit ribosomal RNA", at positions 28 to 507 of the family's 1533-position model. The record is from RNAcentral.
GAUGAACGCUGGCGGCGUGCCUAAUACAUGCAGGUCGAGCGAACAGACGAGGAGCUUGCUCCUCUGACGUUAGCGGCGGACGGGUGAGUAACACGUGGAUAACCUACCUAUAAGACUGGGAUAACUUCGGGAAACCGGAGCUAAUACCGGAUAAUAUAUUGAACCGCAUGGUUCAAUAGUGAAAGACGGUUUUGCUGUCACUUAUAGAUGGAUCCGCGCCGCAUUAGCUAGUUGGUAAGGUAACGGCUUACCAAGGCGACGAUGCGUAGCCGACCUGAGAGGGUGAUCGGCCACACUGGAACUGAGACACGGUCCAGACUCCUACGGGAGGCAGCAGUAGGGAAUCUUCCGCAAUGGGCGAAAGCCUGACGGAGCAACGCCGCGUGAGUGAUGAAGGUCUUCGGAUCGUAAAACUCUGUUAUUAGGGAAGAACAAAUGUGUAAGUAACUAUGCACGUCUUGACGGUACCUAAUCAGAAAGCCACGGCUAACUACGUG